CUGAAUCUGAAUGGGCAACAGGCAGCAAGAAAUGGAAAGAAGUAGGAUGAGGCAAGGAGGGCAGGAGUAUGUUUGAGGUGUUGCUCUCAGAUUUCUUCGUCUUCCACAUCAGCUGUUCCUAGAGCUUUUCAGCCAACUUCUACAGAAGCAGCAAGGCUAUGGAAGAUCAGGAUUGAGGUGCCCUGAUACUGCUGGAGAAGGAAACAAACAAGGCCUGUGUGAA
Molecule: long non-coding RNA, 223 nt
Organism: Trachemys scripta elegans
Lineage: Eukaryota; Metazoa; Chordata; Testudines; Emydidae
Exons: 3
Source: RefSeq, a predicted model, not a curated record